RNAcentral lists this ribosomal RNA (117 nucleotides) under Pteropus alecto (black flying fox). The record is from RNAcentral. Lineage: Eukaryota; Metazoa; Chordata; Mammalia; Chiroptera; Pteropodidae.
GUCUAUGGCCAUGCUACCCUAAACAAGCCCAAUCUUGUGAUCUCAAAAGCUAAGCAGGGUUGGUCCUGGUUAGUACUUGGAUGGGAGACCACCUAGGAAGACCAGGUGCUGUAGGUG